Oryza glaberrima (African rice) is the source of this 198-nucleotide non-coding RNA. The record is from Rfam. NCBI's taxonomy places the organism in Eukaryota, Viridiplantae, Streptophyta, Magnoliopsida, Poales, Poaceae.
AAAAAGACAAACCCUGAGUUUCCGUGUCCAACGUUUGACUGUCCGUCUUAUAUAAAUUUUUUUUUAUAAUCAGUAUUUUCAUUGUUGUUAGAUGAUAAAACAUGAUUAAUACUUUAUGCGUGACUUGUCUUUUUAAUUUUUUUAUAUUUUUUUUAAAUAAGACGGACGGUUAAAUAUUGGACACGGAAACGUAGAGUU